GGAGGUUUUAGUCCUCUUUCUGUCGACGGUCUUCUUCCUGAAAGUCAUAGUUCAGCUCAGACGAGUUGGUCAGAUGACUUUGCGUUUUCCUGUUUCUGCCUCAAAUUAGCUAUGUACAAAAUGUCCUCAAACGCUUAAUCUAUAAUGACAUCUGGAUUCUCCAACAUAGGCGACAGAUGUACUUCUGCAACAGAGCAGCGACUCGGCGCCGACGAGGAGGACCAUUGCAUAAUAUGCAUGGAUAGUUUUCAGGAAAAGACAACUUUAAAAUGUUCUCACUCAUUCUGUUCAAGUUGUAUUGACUCGUUUUUAAAAAUUAAACCCGCAUGUCCGGUAUGUAAUAGUUUUUACGGGACCUACGAAGGAACGCAGCCCCGGAACGGGACCAUGACAGUGAGACGCAACUGGCAGUGUUUACCUGGUUAUGAGGAGGGGAAUGGACAUAUCACGAUUGAUUAUCACUUUCCAGCCGGAGUACAAGGGCCUGAGCAUCCGAACCCGGGUGAGAAGUACUGUAGCACAUCCAGGACAGCCUUUCUGCCAGCCUGUGAGGAAGGAGAGAAGGUACUGAGGCUGCUCCAGACAGCCUUUCACAGGAGGCUCAUCUUCACGAUCGGGACAUCAGCCACUACCGGCCUCAACAACUCCAUCACAUGGAACGACAUACACCACAAGACCAACAUUAGUGGAGGACCACAGUUUUUCGGGUAUCCAGACCCGGGCUACCUCUCUCGGGUCCAGGAGGAGCUUCGUCUGAAGGGAGUGACAGAGGAGAGCUGACUUCACUGGAGCUUCAUGAAACCAGAACUACUCUUAGUUCAAAUUCUAUACAUAUUGUCACGCUCAGGAAUCAAACACAAGACGAGAAGAGCAGUAACGGUGUUGGGGAAGCGACACUGAAAAUAUAGCUUACUGAGCUACCAAUUCACACUAGAAGCUUAGCUGCCCUUAAGGAAAAAUAUAGUUUCCUUAAAGUUACUUUGAAAAAGUAGUACACUACAUCAAAACUACUUUGUGAAAAAUUAUCAAAUUUAAAUCUGAAAUGUCAUAGACUACAAGUUGCAAGAACAGAUCACUUUACUGGUCAAAUGUUAACAGAAUGUGUAAUUUGGCCUAUUAAACACAACAACUUCAAAUUUAGAAAGGAAGGUAUUGCCUACUUCGCCCAUAUUUUAUUUUCUUAUAGCAAAACAAAACAGUGUGGGUUUCCAGUAGUUAGCUACACCACCACAUGGCAAGAAAAGUAAUUAACUACUGAAAACACUACCUACCUACACUACCUACCUUUGAAUUCAGUUCAACUACCACCAAACUACUGUAAAAUCUAGUCAAAUUACUAGGUUUACAUGUUGUUCACUACUCCCCAACACUGAGCAGUUAUGAUUGUAGCCAACCGAAGUGUUCUGAAAAAUAUUUGAUUCUUAUUUACAAUAAAAGUGACUUCAAAAUGACAGUGCAUUAUUUACUAUUGUGCACAAAAUAAUCUGAAACAACCAAAACAAAGAGCAAGCGCAUCCAACAAAUUUGUGGUCACAAACUUGAUGAGGUCAUUGGGUGCUAUGAAUAUGGGACCAAGUGCUGUAAUUUCUAAAUGGGUCACCCGAUAUGGAUGAAAGUACCCUCAAAUUAAAGCAGUCAGUCUUUGCUUCAUUUCAAAUCCAAACUUUUGGAGUACAGAGCCAAAAGAAGAAAAUAUUUUUCACUGUCCCAAUAAGUAUUUGUGCUCCCGAGUGGCACAGCGGUCUAAGUCACUGUAUCUCCGUGCUAGAGGCGUCACGACAGACCCUGGUUCAAUUCCAGGUUGUAUCACAACCGGCCGUGAUUGGGAGUCGCAUAGGGCGGCGCACAAUUGGCCCAGCGUCGUCCGGGUUUGGCCGGGGUAGGCCAUCAUUGUAAAUAAGAAUUUGUUCUUAACUGACUUGCCUAGUUAAAUGAAGGUUUAAUCAAAUUAAAAUAAAUACAUAAUUAUGGAGGGCACUGUAUAUGGUAGGAUAGCUUUAAGAUGGUUCCUCGAAGACGUGGGUUUUGACUCGAUGUGUAUUUUUCUCCACUGAUUUAUGUGUCACGUUCUGUCAAUUGUUUUCCCUGAUUGAAAAUCAUACUUAGGUAGCCUGGUUUCACUUUUGAGUUGUGGGUGUUUAUUUUCUGUUCUGCGUUUUGUUGCACCGUUCAGGACUGUUCGUUUGUCGUGUAUUGUUUUUGUUUCAGUAUUCAUUCUUUAUUAAAUUACAAUGAAUACUUACCACGCUGCACCUUGGUCCUCUCUUUUUCCCGACGACAACCGUUACAGAAACACCCACCAAAAAGGGACCAAGCAGCUUGGUUUCGGGGAGCAGCGAUCUCAGGACUCCUGGACAUGGGACAGCCCAUUGCGGGUUAUUCCACCUCGCCGCACUGGCCUGGCUACGGGGAGCAUUCAACCAGGUGUUCCCGCCUGUCCAGCGCUGCCAGAGUCUCCCGUCUGUCCUGAGCUGCCAGAGUCUCCCGUCUGUCCUGAGCUGCCAGAGUCUCCCGUCUGUCCUGAGCUGCCAGAGUCUCCCGUCUGUCCUGAGCUGCCAGAGCCGCCAGUCUGUCCUGAGCUGCCAGAGCCGCCAGUCUGUCCUGAGCUGCCAGAGCCGCCAGUCUGUCCUGAGCUGCCAGAGCCGCCAGUCUGUCCUGAGCUGCCAGAGCCGCCAGUCUGUCCUGAGCCGUCAGUCAGCCAGGAGCUGUCAGAGCCGUCAGUCAGCCAGGAGCUGCCAGAGCCGUCUGUCAGCCAGGAGCUGCCAGAGCCGUCAGUCAGCCAGGAGCUGCCAGAGCCGUCAGUCAGCCAGGAGCUGCCAGAGCCGUCAGUCAGCCAGGAGCUGCCAGAGCCGUCAGUCAGCCAGGAGCUGCCAGAGCCGUCAGUCAGCCAGGAGCUGCCUGAGCCGUCAGUCAGCCAGGAGCUGCCAGAGCAGUCAGUCAGCCAGGAGCUGCCAGAGACGUCAGUCAGCCAGGGGCUGCCAGAAUCGCCCUUCACUCCCGCCUGUCCGGCGUUGCCGGAGUCUCCCUUCUGUCCGGUGCUGCCGGAAUCUCCCGUCCAUUCGGGACCCAUUGCUAGGGUCCCCAGUCCGAGGUCGAAAUUGGCCACGGAGGCGGUUGAGGAGGCGGACAAAGACUAUGGUGGAAAUGGGGUCCACGUCCCGCGCCAGAACUGCCACCGCGGACAGACACCCACCCAGACCCUCCCAUAUAGGUUCAGGUUUUGCGGCCGGAGUCCGCACCUUUGGGGGGGGGGGGUACUGUCACGUUCUGACCUUAGUUCCUUUGUUAUGUCUUUGUUUUAGAAUGGUCAGGGCGUGAGUUGGGUGGGUUGUCUAUGUUCUUUUUUCUAUAAUUUGGGAUUUUCUGUGUUCGGCCUGGUAUGGUUCUCAGAGGCAGCUGCAUUUACAUUACAUUUACAUGUAAGUCAUUUAGCAGACGCUCUUAUCCAGAGCGACUUACAAAUUGGUGCAUUCACCUUAUGACAUCCAGUGGAACAGCCACUUUACAAUAGUGCAUCUAAAUAUUUUAAGGGGGGGGGGGGUGAGAAGGAUUACUUUAUCCUAUCCUAGGUAUUCCUUAAAGAGGUGGGGUUUCAGGUGUCUCCGGAAGGUGGUGAUUGACUCCGCUGUCCUGGCGUCGUGAGGGAGUGUGUUCCACCAUUGGGGAGCCAGAGCAGCGAACAGUUUUGACUGGGCUGAGCGGGAACUCUGCCAAUCGUUGUCUCUGAUUGAGAAUCAUAUUUAGGUAGCCUGGUUUCACUUUUGAGUUGUGGGUGUUUAUUUUCUGUUCUGUGUUUUGUUGCACCGUUCAGGACUGUUCGUUUUAUUCGUGUAUUGGUCUUUGUUUCAGUAUUCAUUCUUUAUUAAAUUACAAUGAAUACUUA
Oncorhynchus keta (chum salmon) is the source of this 3883-nucleotide RNA transcript. RefSeq lists it as uncharacterized. The record is from RefSeq and is a predicted model, not a curated record. The transcript has 4 exons. Lineage: Eukaryota; Metazoa; Chordata; Actinopteri; Salmoniformes; Salmonidae.